GGCUCAGGAUGAACGCUAGCUACAGGCUUAACACAUGCAAGUCAGGGGCAGCAUGGGAUAGCUUGCUAUCCAGAUGGCGACCGGCGCACGGGUGAGUAACGCGUAUCCAACCUUCCCCAUAGUAGGGCACAGCCCGGCGAAAGUCGGAUUGGAUUCCCUAUGUUGUCUAGAGAGGACAUCUGACCUGGACGAAAGAUUCAUCGCUAUGGGAUGGGGAUGCGUCUGAUUAGGUUGCAGGCGGGGUAACGGCCCACCUGGCCGACGAUCAGUAGGGGUUCUGAGAGGAAGGUCCCCCACAUUGGAACUGAGACACGGUCCAAACUCCUACGGGAGGCAGCAGUGAGGAAUAUUGGUCAAUGGGACGGAAGUCUGAACCAGCCAAGUAGCGUGCAGGGUAAUGACGGCCCUAUGGGUUGUAAACUGCUUUUAUCAGGGGAUAAAGUGAGGUAUGUAUACCUUUUUGCAUGUACCUGAUGAAUAAGGACCGGCUAAUUCCGUGCCAGCCGCAGC
Molecule: ribosomal RNA, 510 nt
Filed under: uncultured bacterium
Lineage: Bacteria
Description: bacterial SSU rRNA
Rfam family: Bacterial small subunit ribosomal RNA
Source: RNAcentral